This is a long non-coding RNA of Chinchilla lanigera (long-tailed chinchilla), 296 nucleotides long. RefSeq lists it as uncharacterized. NCBI's taxonomy places the organism in Eukaryota, Metazoa, Chordata, Mammalia, Rodentia, Chinchillidae. The transcript is spliced from 3 exons. The record is from RefSeq and is a predicted model, not a curated record.
UUUGCAGCCAGCCGAUUAUGGACUGAAGCCUCAGCAAACUCAUUGUCUUUGUCUUAGUAUCUGCGUUUCUGAGACCAAAUACCUACCACCCAAAGUUAAAGGAGGAGAGCCGGGGAUACAGCUCAGCGGCACAAGCGCCUGCCUGAGAAAAGGCGUCCAGCAUGGAACCAUUCAUUCUGAUGUUAACAGCGAUGUACCUAGUGCGUGUGACAUCCCAGGAAGAUCAUUUGUUGGCUUCCCCCUCCUGUGUAUAAUAAAAUUAUUUUUCAAUAAAAAUAAUGUAAAACCAACAAAAA